This 449-nucleotide ribosomal RNA is filed under the name uncultured bacterium. Its description in RNAcentral is "partial 16S ribosomal RNA". It matches the Rfam family "Bacterial small subunit ribosomal RNA", at positions 29 to 523 of the family's 1533-position model. The record is from RNAcentral.
AACGAACGCUGGCGGCAUGCCUAACACAUGCAAGUCGAACGAGACCUUCGGGUCUAGUGGCGCACGGGUGCGUAACGCGUGGGAACCUGCCCUUAGGUUCGGAAUAACUCCUCGAAAGGGGUGCUAAUACCGGAUGAUGUCUUCGGACCAAAGAUUUAUCGCCUAUGGAUGGGCCCGCGUUGGAUUAGCUAGUUGGUGGGGUAAAGGCCUACCAAGGCGACGAUCCAUAGCUGGUCUUAGAGGAUGAUCAGCCACACUGGGACUGAGACACGGCCCAGACUCCUACGGGAGGCAGCAGUGGGGAAUAUUGGACAAUGGGCGAAAGCCUGAUCCAGCAAUGCCGCGUGAGUGAUGAAGGCCCUAGGGUUGUAAAGCUCUUUUACCAGGGAUGAUAAUGACAGUACCUGGAGAAUAAGCUCCGGCUAACUCCGUGCCAGCCGCCGCAGUAA